GAAGUUCAAAUUUAAAGUAAAACUUAUCUUUAAAAAUAAAUUCAAAUAUCAAAGCUAAGACCACAUAUAACCUCUUAACUAAACUCUCCACUGUUGGUGACUUCUGAAUUUUUUGAGCCGAAGUAAAAAAAAAGAGAUUUGGUUAUAACUCACUUUAUCAUGUCACUUUCGUAAAGUAAUUUUUCAUAUUCAUUUUCGCAAACCAAACAACUGAUAAGGCGUCAAUUUCUAGAAGUAUUUGCACUUUUGAUGCUUCACUUUCGGCCAACCAAAUAUGCCCUAAAACGAAAAUGUUAUUCGUGUAAGUAAAAAAAUUGAUAGAUAAUAUUCGAGAUCCAAAAUUUGAAGAGCAGCUUGUCACGGACUGAAGCGAAAUCGCUUGCCUAGCCUGUGUGGCGCUUGCCUUCUUUCGUGAAGUGAGCAAGCUUAUCUCUCUAUUUGCUAAGUUAGGACCUACUCGCCCUCAACUAACAACAAGAGAGAGAGAGUUUGAGAAAUAUUGCAUAUUGAUAGAAUUAAGAGUACAACUGAUUUUCCUAAGGAGAGGGUGUGAAAGCCACAUCCUUAUAUAGGCAACUCGCCACCCAGACUACAAAUAAAAAGACGCCAAGUGGCGUAUAACUAUAAGGCAAAGAGGGAUGCUGCAAGCUCCCAACAGACUAUAGUCAUUGCCCACCUAGAAAUUCUAAGAGACAGUUGACCUGUCGGUAUUCAUAUCAUCAGUUUUGAUAUUUGCAUAGAAACUUUUAGAACGCCCCAACAAAAUUUCUAACAGAACGCUCCUUCGAAGAUCGAGCCACUAUCAAGAAGAAGUCAGCAAAAAAUAUUUUAUCCGUGACAACAACUGCUACACAUUUUCCUCUAGAAUCGGCUCACAUUUCGAUUUUGUUGGACAAAAUCUCUCCAAACGUGGGGCCCACUAGGCCCUAUUUGGAUGCAUAGUUAAAAAACUUUAUAGAAUUUUUAUUCUGUAGUUUUGGUCUAAAUAAAAUACGGAAUCCUGUGACUACAAAAAAAUUCCACAGCUUUAUUUUUAAGCUGUUUGGAUACAUAUCGUACAAUUCCACAGGAUUUAUAACAAUUAGAUUUUUUAAAUUUUGAAAUUCAAAAUUUAAAAAUAAAAUUUUAAAAAAUUAAAAUUCAAAAUUUAAAAAUAAAAUUUUAAAUUUUAAAUUUUAAAUUUUAAAUUUUAAAUUUUAAAUUUUAAAAAUUAAAUUAAAUUUUAUAUUUGAAAUUUGAAAUUUAAAAUUUAAAGUUUGAAAUUUGAAAUUUGAAAUUUGAAAAUUUUAAUUUGAAAUUCAAAAUAUAAAAUUUGAAAUUUAACAUUCAAAUUUGAAAUUCAAAAUUUAAAAUUUAAAUUUGAAAUUUAAAAUUCAAUUUUAAAAAUUAAAAUUUUAAAUUUUAAAUUUCAAAUUAAAAUUUUAAAAUUAGAGGUUCUGAUUUUAAAUUUAAAUUUCAAAAUUUAAAAGUUAAAAUUUAAAAUUUAAAAUUUAAAAUUUANUUAUAAAUUUACAUAUUUAUAAAUUUUAAAAAUUUAAAAUUUGAAAUUUGAAAUUUGUGAAAAUUGAAAAUUGAAAAUUAAAAUUAAAAUUUCAAAUUUCAAAUUUCAAAUUUUAAAUUUGUAAAUUUGUAAAUUUUUAAUUUAAAUUUUAAAUUUUAAAUUUAAAAAUUUGAAAUUCAAAAUUAGAAAUUAGAAAUUUAAAAUUUAAAAUUUAAAAUUUAAAAUCAAAAUUAAAAUUAAAUUUUAUAAUUUUUAAAUUUGAAAUAUAAAAUUUAGAUUGAAAUUUAAAAUUUUAUGUUGAAACUUAAUAUUUAAAACUUGAUACAUGUUUGGGGUAAGGGAGCCCAAAAUGGUAGAAUUUUUUUCCUUUGGUUAGAGUGGAUUAUAAUUUUACUUCAUUUUUUAGGAUAUAGUAUAACUAUAUUUCAAAAAUUACGUCAUUUUUUUUCUUCUUCUAAACACUUUAUAGGAUUAUUUCUUACCGGUGUAUAGCAUAGAUUAGUUUAACUAUGCUACGUUUUUAGGAGUCUCCAAACGGGACCUAAGUUUGGGCCAAGCCAGGUU
Molecule: long non-coding RNA, 2065 nt
Filed under: Ananas comosus (pineapple)
Lineage: Eukaryota; Viridiplantae; Streptophyta; Magnoliopsida; Poales; Bromeliaceae
Description: long non-coding RNA (ACOM_LNC002520)
Source: RNAcentral